This is a non-coding RNA of Camellia sinensis, 670 nucleotides long. NCBI's taxonomy places the organism in Eukaryota, Viridiplantae, Streptophyta, Magnoliopsida, Ericales, Theaceae. The record is from RefSeq and is a predicted model, not a curated record.
AAAAAAACCAAUCAGCCCCAGCUCUUCAGCUUCCAAUCAAAAAGCACAGAAGGGUUUGUUUCUAAUCCAGACUAGACUAGACCAAAAAACCUAGGAAGGGUUGCCAAUCGACUACUAGUGUAUAGAAGUGUGAGAUGGCAGCUCUACUUUUAUCUUAUUAAAUCCAACAAAUUGAAUCCAAAAAAGGUCCCCUACUUCCAUUCGCUGCAAAUCAUGGAGGAGCUCUCUUCGGCAUCUUUGUGUUGAUAGCCACGCCUCUCUUUUCCUUUUCUCGUUUGAAGAUGGGAGUGGCAGAACAGUUCUGAUAUGGAGGAGGAAACACUGUUGAUAGGAAUGGACAAGAAAUGCAACAGGGUUAAUUGCUCCAGCUAUUGUCGCAGGUUUAGGUGCCUUAACACAUACAUUGGGCACCCUCUUCCCUGUGAUAGGAGCAAGUGGAUUUGUUACAGCUGCAGCAACAACUGUUAUAGGAACUGUUGUCGAUAGUUUUAGAUAAUCUCUUAAUAGUUGUCGAUAUGUUUAGAAAGUUUGAUAUGCAUAGUUUUGGAUGGUUUAAACUUUUUGUACAGUUUAGAACUUAAGGAUAUAGUUUUCAAAUGUUUGGAAUGCAUAGACAAUUAUUGAAUGUUUAUAAUUUAUAGAUAUAGUUUCUUUUUGAUGUUUCAAACAA